AUUGAACGCUGGCGGCAUGCCUUACACAUGCAAGUCGAACGGUAACGGGCCUUCGGGUGCCGACGAGUGGCGAACGGGUGAGUAAUACAUCGGAACGUGCCCGGUCGUGGGGGAUAACGAGGCGAAAGCUUUGCUAAUACCGCAUACGAUCUACGGAUGAAAGCAGGGGACCGCAAGGCCUUGCGCGGACGGAGCGGCCGAUGGCAGAUUAGGUAGUUGGUGGGAUAAAAGCUUACCAAGCCGACGAUCUGUAGCUGGUCUGAGAGGAUGAUCAGCCACACUGGGACUGAGACACGGCCCAGACUCCUACGGGAGGCAGCAGUGGGGAAUUUUGGACAAUGGGCGCAAGCCUGAUCCAGCCAUGCCGCGUGCAGGAUGAAGGCCUUCGGGUUGUAAACUGCUUUUGUACGGAACGAAAAGCCUUCUUUUAAUACAGGAGGGUCAUGACGGUACCGUAAGAAUAAGCACCGGCUAACUACGUG
Molecule: ribosomal RNA, 482 nt
Filed under: uncultured bacterium
Lineage: Bacteria
Description: partial 16S ribosomal RNA
Rfam family: Bacterial small subunit ribosomal RNA
Source: RNAcentral